AACGCAUAUUGCACUCUCUGGUAAUCCGGAGAGUAUGCCUGUUUGAGGGUCAGUAUAAUAUAAUAAUUAUCACGAUCUCACCGAUUGUGGAAUUGGGCUCUUAUUUCGAACAGAUUUAUGGCCUUAAAUUUACGCCAUGCGAUUAAUUCGAACCAAGCGGAGCAAUUAAACAUUCUCUCGUGGACGGAUUAUACUCGCAAGCCAUUACGGUUUUUUGGACGACAAAGCGCUUUCGCGAGCGCGAAGCCCAAAGGACGUAAAUUCAUUGACAAAUGACCUCAAAUCAGGCAAGAAUACCCGCCGAACUUAA
Molecule: unclassified non-coding RNA, 310 nt
Filed under: uncultured Entrophosporaceae
Lineage: Eukaryota; Fungi; Glomeromycota; Glomeromycetes; Entrophosporales; Entrophosporaceae
Description: uncultured Claroideoglomeraceae sequence contains ITS2
Rfam family: 5.8S ribosomal RNA (bases 1-52)
Source: RNAcentral